Molecule: small nuclear RNA, 104 nt
Filed under: Marmota monax (woodchuck)
Lineage: Eukaryota; Metazoa; Chordata; Mammalia; Rodentia; Sciuridae
Source: RNAcentral
AUUCUAUAAGAGAUUAAUAUGAAAGUUUGUAAAGAAUCUCCUAAAGUAGAUUAGCAUAGCCCCUGCAGUUUGGCAGGCAAAUUUAUGAAGCAUUCUAUUUUUUU